GGCGUAUUUUGCUCAGGCGGAGCUCGACCGCCCGUUCAAGCGAUGAUCGCCUUCAUCGACGCGCACCGCGCUGUCCACGGGGUCGAGAUCCUA
Molecule: regulatory RNA element, 93 nt
Organism: Azospirillum sp. B510
Lineage: Bacteria; Pseudomonadati; Pseudomonadota; Alphaproteobacteria; Rhodospirillales; Azospirillaceae
Rfam family: ALIL pseudoknot
Source: Rfam